Molecule: ribosomal RNA, 369 nt
Filed under: uncultured bacterium
Lineage: Bacteria
Description: partial 16S ribosomal RNA
Rfam family: Bacterial small subunit ribosomal RNA
Source: RNAcentral
CCUACGGGAGGCAGCAGUGGGGAAUAUUGCACAAUGGGGGAAACCCUGAUGCAGCGACGCCGCGUGAGCGAUGAAGUAUCUCGGUAUGUAAAGCUCUAUCAGCAGGGAAGAAAAUCACGGUACCUAACUAAGCAGCCCCGUAUAACUACGUGCCAGCAGGCGCGAGACUACGGAGGCGGCAAGCGUUAUCCGGAUUUACUGGGUGUAAAGGGAGCGUAGACGGCGGGGCAAGCCAGUUGUGAAAGUCCGGGGCUCAACCGGAGAACUGCAGUUGAAACCGGGAGGUUUGAGUGCAGGAGAGGCGGGCGGAAUUCGUGGUGUAGCGGUGAAAUGCGUAGAUAUUAGGAAGAACUCCGAUGGCGAAGGCAG